RNAcentral lists this ribosomal RNA (689 nucleotides) under Brassica napus (rape). RNAcentral describes it as "rRNA SSU_rRNA_eukarya". It matches the Rfam family "Eukaryotic small subunit ribosomal RNA", at positions 1117 to 1823 of the family's 1831-position model. The record is from RNAcentral. Lineage: Eukaryota; Viridiplantae; Streptophyta; Magnoliopsida; Brassicales; Brassicaceae.
GGGGGAGUAUGGUCGCAAGGCUGAAACUUAAAGGAAUUGACGGAAGGGCACCACCAGGAGUGGAGCCUGCGGCUUAAUUUGACUCAACACGAGGAAACUUACCAGGUCCAGAUAUAGUAAGGAUUGACAGACUGAGAGCGCUUUCUUGAUUCUAUGGGUGGUGGUGCAUGGUCGUUCUUAGUUGGUGGAGCGAUUUGUCUGGUUAAUUCCGUUAACGAACGAGACCUCAGCCAGCUAACUAGCUACGUGGAGGCAUCCCUUCACGGCCGGCUUCUUAGAGGAACUAUGGCCAUUUAGGCCAAAGAAAGUUUGAGGCAAUACCAGGUCUGUGAUGCCCUUAGAUGUUCUAGGUCGCACACGCGCUACACUGAUGUAUUCAACGAGUUCACACCUUGGCCGACAGGCCCGGGUAAUCUUUGAAAUUUCAUCGUGUGGGGAUAGAUCAUUGCAAUUUUUGGUCUUCAACGAGGAAUUCCUAGUAAGCGCGAGUCAUCAGCUCGCAUUGACUACAUAUCUGCCCUUUGUACACACAGCCCGUCGCUCCUACCGAUUGAAUGAUCCGGUGAAGUGUUCGGAUCGCGGCGACGUGGGCAGUUCGACGUCUGCGACAUCGCGAGAAGUCCACUAAACCUUAUUAUUUAGAGGAAGGAGAAGUCGUAACAAGAUUUCCGUAGGUGAACCUACGGAAG